GACGAACGCUGGCGGCGUGCCUAAUACAUGCAAGUAGAACGCUGAAGAGAGGAGCUUGCUCUUCUUGGAUGAGUUGCGAACGGGUGAGUAACGCGUAGGUAACCUGCCUUGUAGCGGGGGAUAACUAUUGGAAACGAUAGCUAAUACCGCAUAACAAUGGAUUACACAUGUCAUUUAUUUGAAAGGGGCAAUUGCUCCACUACAAGAUGGACCUGCGUUGUAUUAGCUAGUAGGUGAGGUAAUGGCUCACCUAGGCGACGAUACAUAGCCGACCUGAGAGGGUGAUCGGCCACACUGGGACUGAGACACGGCCCAGACUCCUACGGGAGGCAGCAGUAGGGAAUCUUCGGCAAUGGGGGCAACCCUGACCGAGCAACGCCGCGUGAGUGAAGAAGGUUUUCGGAUCGUAAAGCUCUGUUGUAAGUCAAGAACGGGUGUGAGAGUGGAAAGUUCACACUGUGACGGUAGCUUACCAGAAAGGGACGGCUAACUACGUG
RNAcentral lists this ribosomal RNA (497 nucleotides) under uncultured bacterium. RNAcentral's name for it is "partial 16S ribosomal RNA". It matches the Rfam family "Bacterial small subunit ribosomal RNA", at positions 28 to 507 of the family's 1533-position model. The record is from RNAcentral.